GACGAACGCUGGCGGCGUGCUUAACACAUGCAAGUCGAACGCUGAAGCACCAGCUUGCUGGUGUGGAUGAGUGGCGAACGGGUGAGUAAUACGUGAGUAACCUGCCCUUGACUCUGGGAUAAGCCCGGGAAACUGGGUCUAAUACUGGAUGCUACAUGUCACCGCAUGGUGGUGUGUGGAAAGGGUUUACUGGUCUUGGAUGGGCUCACGGCCUACCAGCUUGUUGGUGAGGUAAUGGCUCACCAAGGCGACGACGGGUAGCCGGCCUGAGAGGGUGACCGGCCACACUGGGACUGAGACACGGCCCAGACUCCUACGGGAGGCAGCAGUGGGGAAUAUUGCACAAUGGGCGAAAGCCUGAUGCAGCGACGCCGCGUGAGGGAUGACGGCCUUCGGGUUGUAAACCUCUUUCAGCAGGGAAGAAGCCACAAGUGACGGUACCUGCAGAAGAAGCGCCGGCUAACUACGUG
This 470-nucleotide ribosomal RNA is filed under the name uncultured bacterium. RNAcentral's name for it is "partial 16S ribosomal RNA". It matches the Rfam family "Bacterial small subunit ribosomal RNA", at positions 28 to 507 of the family's 1533-position model. The record is from RNAcentral.